CUGUGAAUGGUAACCUAGACAAACUCUUUAAGGUCAGAAGACUGCAUGCUACAGAACAAGAGUCUGUAAUGGCAUAGUCAGCCCAGUCAGAAGUAGGUAAAAAAUGAUACAUCACAAUGUCCAGGUGAACUUUUUUUAAUUUACUUAUUUAUUUUUCAAAGAGCCACUCUCCAUAAUGGCCAGAGAAGCAUGCUGAAGUGGACAACACACGCUCUGAACCCACCAAGUUGGUCCUGCCUUGGUUGUUAAUAUACGUUUGCUGAGAGGCUUAGGUGGGGGCCACACUGCUUGAAGUCGCCCAGGAGUCCUGUCCUCACUGUCUGCUGGGGAGAUGAUCUCAGGCUGGGAUUUAAAGAGAAGGGAAAGGGCAACAGAUCCAAAGAGGAAAACAGUUCAUUUUAGUGUGCAUGUUUUAGCCACAUUUAAAACUACAUCUUGACGGAGAAUAAUUUAAUUAUGAUCUUGCUGUUUUGUCAUAUCUGUUUUUAAAAUAAUAAAAUUCCACAAGUCGAUGGGGGAAAAAAAAAAGAUUGAAUAUACUUUCAUGAAUUUGUUUAGCUUUAAAGCUAAACCAAUUACAUUUCAACCGGAUAUGCAAUAAUUCCAAAUUAGGAUUCAUAAAGACUAAAGACUGAAACUAGCCUGAAAAAAUGUCUCAGAAAUUCUAACAGCUCUAAGAAAAUGUAAUACCAUUUUAAACUUUAAUUUGUACAAUAAAAUGCAGUUUGAGUGAUACAUACUG
Molecule: long non-coding RNA, 742 nt
Organism: Electrophorus electricus (electric eel)
Lineage: Eukaryota; Metazoa; Chordata; Actinopteri; Gymnotiformes; Gymnotidae
Source: RefSeq, a predicted model, not a curated record